Molecule: ribosomal RNA, 930 nt
Filed under: uncultured bacterium
Lineage: Bacteria
Description: bacterial SSU rRNA
Rfam family: Bacterial small subunit ribosomal RNA
Source: RNAcentral
AGAGUUUGAUCCUGGCUCAGAAUCAACGCUGGCGGCGUGCCUCAGACAUGCAAGUCGAACGCGAAAGGCCCCUUCGGGGGCCGAGUAGAGUGGCGCACGGGUGAGUAACACGUGGGUAAUUUGCCUUCGGGUGGGGAAUAACAGCCGGAAACGGCUGCUAAUACCGCAUAAUGCAGCGGCAUCUAUGAUGACAGUUGUUAAAGCGGGGGAUUCGCAAGAACCUCGCGCCUGAAGAGAAGCCCGCGGCGGAUUAGCUAGUUGGUAGGGUAAUGGCCUACCAAGGCGACGAUCCGUAGCCGGCCUGAGAGGGCGGUCGGCCACACUGACACUGACAUACGGGUCAGACUCCUACGGGAGGCAGCAGUCGGGAAUUUUGGGCAAUGGGCGCAAGCCUGACCCAGCAACGCCGCGUGAAGGAUGAAGUUUUUCGGAAUGUAAACUUCACAAGAAUGGGAAGAAUAAGUCCUGGCUAACAUCCAGGACGAUGACGGUACCAUUUGUAAGCUCCGGCUAACUCCGUGCCAGCAGCCGCGGUAAUACGGGGGGAGCAAGCGUUGUUCGGAUUUACUGGGCGUAAAGGGCGCGUAGGCGGCGCGACAAGUCACUUGUGAAAUCUCCGGGCUCAACUCGGAACGGCCAAGUGAUACUGUCGUGCUAGAGUGCGGAAGGGGCAACUGGAAUUCUCGGUGUAGCGGUGAAAUGCGUAGAUAUCGAGAGGAACACCUGCGGCGAAGGCGGGUUGCUGGGCCGACACUGACGCUGAAGCGCGAAAGCUAGGGGAGCGAACGGGAUUAGAUACCCCGGUAGUCCUAGCCUUAAACGAUGAAUGCUUGGUGUCCGGGGUUAGAUAGUCCCCGGGUGCCGUCGCUAACGCUAUAAGCAUUCCGCCUGGGGAGUACGGUCGCAAGACUGAAACUCAAAGGAAUUGAC